Salvia splendens (bonfire salvia) is the source of this 275-nucleotide long non-coding RNA. RefSeq lists it as uncharacterized. Lineage: Eukaryota; Viridiplantae; Streptophyta; Magnoliopsida; Lamiales; Lamiaceae. The record is from RefSeq and is a predicted model, not a curated record. The transcript is spliced from 3 exons.
CCUAACCCUAGCCACCUCUCCCUCACGCCUCUCUCCUCUCCCACACGCCCCACCCCCUUUUUCAUCUCUUCUCCCACUUGUUCAUCCAUUCCACUCAAGAUCCUAUCAAUUUUCCAAGAGAUUGUUGAAGAACCAAGGUUUUAAUUGCUUCCUACCGAUUAUUUCGUCCAAGAAAAGGUGAAAUUUCGUGCGAGACGCGUGAUAUCAAAGGAAAAGCGAAACUUGAAAACUAAAGGAUCGAGGUUGAGCGGCGACGAGCGGUUGGCGGUGUUGAG